CCUACGGGUGGCAGCAGUGGGGAAUAUUGGACAAUGGGCGAAAGCCUGAUCCAGCCAUGCCGCGUGUGUGAAGAAGGCCUUCGGGUUGUAAAGCACUUUCAGUGGGGAAGAAAGCCUUGGGGCUAAUACCCUCGAGGAAGGACAUCACCCACAGAAGAAGCACCGGCUAACUCCGUGCCAGCAGCCGCGGUAAUACGGAGGGUGCGAGCGUUAAUCGGAAUUACUGGGCGUAAAGCGCGCGUAGGCGGUCUGAUAAGCCGGUUGUGAAAGCCCCGGGCUCAACCUGGGAACGGCAUCCGGAACUGUCAGGCUAGAGUGCAGGAGAGGAAGGUAGAAGUCCCGGUGUAGCGGUGAAAUGCGUAGAGAUCGGGAGGAAUACCAGUGGCGAAGGCGGCCUUCUGGACUGACACUGACGCUGAGGUGCGAAAGCGUGGGUAGCAAACAGGAUUAGAUACCCGGGUAGUC
Molecule: ribosomal RNA, 465 nt
Filed under: Vreelandella stevensii
Lineage: Bacteria; Pseudomonadati; Pseudomonadota; Gammaproteobacteria; Oceanospirillales; Halomonadaceae
Description: partial 16S ribosomal RNA
Rfam family: Bacterial small subunit ribosomal RNA
Source: RNAcentral